UACGUAGGGGGCAAGCGUUAUCCGGAUUUACUGGGUGUAAGGGGAGCGUAGACGGCAGAGCAAGUCUGAAGUGAAAGCCCGCGGCCCAACUGCGGGACUGCUUUGGAAACUGCCCGGCUAGAGUGCUGGAGAGGUAAGCGGAAUUCCUAGUGUAGCGGUGAAAUGCGUAGAUAUUAGGAGGAACACCAGUGGCGAAGGCGGCUUACUGGACAGUAACUGACGUUGAGGCUCGAAAGCGUGGGGAGCAAACAGG
RNAcentral lists this ribosomal RNA (253 nucleotides) under uncultured bacterium. Its description in RNAcentral is "partial 16S ribosomal RNA". It matches the Rfam family "Bacterial small subunit ribosomal RNA", at positions 524 to 776 of the family's 1533-position model. The record is from RNAcentral.